ACACGUACCCAUCCCGAACACGACCGUUAAGCCCUCCAGCGCCGAUGGUACUUGGACCGCAGGGUCCUGGGAGAGUAGGACGCCGCCAAGC
RNAcentral lists this ribosomal RNA (91 nucleotides) under Paenibacillus peoriae. Lineage: Bacteria; Bacillati; Bacillota; Bacilli; Caryophanales; Paenibacillaceae. RNAcentral also lists the same sequence under 2 other names. The record is from RNAcentral.